GACGAACGCUGGCGGCGUGCUUAACACAUGCAAGUCGUACGAUGACCCGGCUCUUCGGAGCUGGUGAUUAGUGGCGAACGGGUGAGUAACACGUGGGUGACCUGCCCUGCACUCUGGGAUAAGCCCGGGAAACUGGGUCUAAUACUGGAUACGACCAGUGGCCGCAUGGUCUGCUGGUGGAAAGCCCUUCGGGGUGGUGUGGGAUGGGCCCGCGGCCUAUCAGCUUGUUGGUGGGGUGAUGGCCUACCAAGGCGACGACGGGUAGCCGGCCUGAGAGGGUGUCCGGCCACACUGGGACUGAGACACGGCCCAGACUCCGACGGGAGGCAGCAGUGGGGAAUCUUGCACAAUGGGCGAAAGCCUGAUGCAGCGACGCCGCGUGAGGGAUGACGGCCUUCGGGUGGUAAACCUCUUUCGGCAGGGAACAAGCCUGGGGGUUGUCUUCUGGGUGAGGGUACCUGCGGAAGAAGCACCGGCUAACUACGUG
This 487-nucleotide ribosomal RNA is filed under the name uncultured bacterium. RNAcentral describes it as "partial 16S ribosomal RNA". It matches the Rfam family "Bacterial small subunit ribosomal RNA", at positions 28 to 507 of the family's 1533-position model. The record is from RNAcentral.